This 497-nucleotide ribosomal RNA is filed under the name uncultured bacterium. Its description in RNAcentral is "partial 16S ribosomal RNA". It matches the Rfam family "Bacterial small subunit ribosomal RNA", at positions 28 to 507 of the family's 1533-position model. The record is from RNAcentral.
GAUGAACGCUGGCGGCGUGCCUAAUACAUGCAAGUCGAGCGAACAGAUAAGGAGCUUGCUCCUUUGACGUUAGCGGCGGACGGGUGAGUAACACGUGGAUAACCUACCUAUAAGACUGGGAUAACUUCGGGAAACCGGAGCUAAUACCGGAUAACAUAUUGAACCGCAUGGUUCAAUAGUGAAAGGCGGCUUUGUUGUCACUUAUAGAUGGAUCCGCGCCGUAUUAGCUAGUUGGUAAGGUAACGGCUUACCAAGGCAACGAUACGUAGCCGACCUGAGAGGGUGAUCGGCCACACUGGAACUGAGACACGGUCCAGACUCCUACGGGAGGCAGCAGUAGGGAAUCUUCCGCAAUGGGCGAAAGCCUGACGGAGCAACGCCGCGUGAGUGAUGAAGGUCUUCGGAUCGUAAAACUCUGUUAUCAGGGAAGAACAAAUGUGUAAGUAACUGUGCACAUCUUGACGGUACCUGAUCAGAAAGCCACGGCUAACUACGUG